AGCGAACGCUGGCGGCAGGCCUAACACAUGCAAGUCGAACGAACUCUUCGGAGUUAGUGGCGGACGGGUGAGUAACACGUGGGAACGUGCCUUUUGGUUCGGAAUAACUCAGGGAAACUUGUGCUAAUACCGAAUGUGCCCUUCGGGGGAAAGAUUUAUCGCCAUUAGAGCGGCCCGCGUCUGAUUAGCUAGUUGGUGAGGUAACGGCUCACCAAGGCGACGAUCAGUAGCUGGUCUGAGAGGAUGACCAGCCACACUGGGACUGAGACACGGCCCAGACUCCUACGGGAGGCAGCAGUGGGGAAUCUUGCGCGAUGGGCGAAAGCCUGACGCAGCCAUGCCGCGUGAAUGAUGAAGGUCUUAGGAUUGUAAAAUUCUUUCACCGGGGACGAUAAUGACGGUACCCGGAGAAGAAGCCCCGGCUAACUUCGUG
Molecule: ribosomal RNA, 433 nt
Filed under: uncultured bacterium
Lineage: Bacteria
Description: partial 16S ribosomal RNA
Rfam family: Bacterial small subunit ribosomal RNA
Source: RNAcentral